This 94-nucleotide ribosomal RNA is filed under the name Stanhopea tigrina. RNAcentral describes it as "5.8S ribosomal RNA". It matches the Rfam family "5.8S ribosomal RNA", at positions 1 to 89 of the family's 154-position model. From Rfam's summary of the family: 5.8S ribosomal RNA (5.8S rRNA) is a component of the large subunit of the eukaryotic ribosome. It is transcribed by RNA polymerase I as part of the 45S precursor that also contains 18S and 28S rRNA. Functionally, it is thought that 5.8S rRNA may be involved in ribosome translocation. The record is from RNAcentral. Lineage: Eukaryota; Viridiplantae; Streptophyta; Magnoliopsida; Asparagales; Orchidaceae.
GACACGACUCUCGGCAAUGGAUAUCUCGGCUCUCGCAUCGAUGAAAAGCGCAGCGAAAUGCGAUACGUGGUGCGAAUUGCAGAAUCCCGCGAAC